Molecule: long non-coding RNA, 1469 nt
Organism: Papaver somniferum (opium poppy)
Lineage: Eukaryota; Viridiplantae; Streptophyta; Magnoliopsida; Ranunculales; Papaveraceae
Exons: 4
Source: RefSeq, a predicted model, not a curated record
UUCAUUUUUCCUUUCCUUCGCCUGCCUGUCCGUUUAUUUUUCAGUAGAUUUCGAGAACUCCAGGGGAAAAUAAGAACCCUCUGUUUUGUCUUCACAAAAUCAUCUGUUUUUCCUCCUCCACCAAAACCAGUGAAACACAAACUAGAUCUCCAUAAGUUUCAUCUUCCCCCAUACAAACCACCACCGGCAACACCAUCGCCACGAAAAACACCACCACCACCACUUCCUUAGUCUCUUCUUCUUCUCCAAAUUGUUGGUGUUUGUGCAAUGUUUCCCGAAAUUUGGUUCCCUAAUCUGAUUGGAACAUCAACUCUCCCAACAAUUUCUACAAUUCAUGCCCUAAAUCUACUUUACUUUUUUCUUCUGGCAUUGUCACCACCACCCUCGUUCUCCACCACCACUAAUAACAAGCAACGCCGUUACAGACAACUGGAAUUGAAACAAAAAAUUGGUAUGAACUGAAAUUGGGAUUUGUCGAAAUUGGUCUUCUCACCAACUUCGAUUCGAUUUAAAUUCAUACUAAUUUCGUUUUCAUACAGCAGAUACACCUCAAGAUUUCAAAGGAACACGAUGAAUUUUCAAAGAUAUUGGUACUGAUUUGUAGCCUGACUAACUUCUACUGUAUAGGUAUUGGGUAGGACAAUUGACUUAAGCUCCAUUGAUUUAAGGUAGCUUACCACAUUACAGAUGGUCUCUUCACAAGGUUGUGGUUCAAAUUAUCAUCCACGUCGGAGCCCAAGGCUAAUUCAGCCAGCUCAACUUGAAGAGCUAACCGAGAGAAAACCAUUAUUGCAUCUCUCACAGGGUUAUAAUAACCAGUCGUAUGGUUGGGGCAGAUGUGAUGGGUGUUCUAGCAUCUCUACCAAGUCUGCACUAAAUGAAGCGAGCCACAGUCACCGGUGCGCAUAAUGCGUGACUCUCCAGUACCGCAAGUUUGACUAAAUUGGCAUGAGACUAGCCGCAGAUGUUAUAAAAAUGAAGGGAAAGGGGAAGGGUGCUCUUGGCAGGAAAGCCAUUAAUUUGGAUUCAGGUAUUUAGUUACUAAACACCUCUAUCCCAUUACACAUUUAAGUGCAUUUCUUCUAUUAUAAAAUCCCAAAGUUACUUUAUUGGUCUGUCCUUAUGAAUUGUUCUUUUUUCCUUUUCAUGAAGCUUAGUUGACAAAAGAAUGCUUCGAAGAGCCAGUGGUUUCACAUAUCACUAAACCCAUCUUUUGCCAAUUUAGUUCGUAGAUUUAUACUUAAUACAUAAAGAUUAUAAAAAAGUUAUUCUUUUGACAAAAGAAUCCACCAAUAUAUGUUAAAAUUCUCUUAGUCUUGGAUUUAAGGUUCAAAGCAUCUAUAUUGGCUGUUUGUGGUUAUUAAUUACGCACCAAUAGUUUGCAUUGGUUCUUUAUGUGUGUUUGUUAACUAUGUACCAGAUGAUGAUUGAUGAAAUUUAUUUAUCCUGCACCUAUUAUUGUUUCAGUA